UACGUAGGCAGCAAGCGUUGUUCGGAGUUACUGGGCGUAAAGGGUGCGUAGGCGGCUUUUUAAGUUUGGUGUGAAAUCUCCCGGCUCAACUGGGAGGGUGCGCCGAAUACUGAGAGGCUAGAGUGUGGGAGAGGAAAGUGGAAUUCCUGGUGUAGCGGUGAAAUGCGUAGAUAUCAGGAGGAACACCGGUGGUGUAAACGGCUUUCUGGACCAUAACUGACGUUGAGGCACGAAAGCGUGGGUAGCAAACAGG
Molecule: ribosomal RNA, 253 nt
Filed under: uncultured bacterium
Lineage: Bacteria
Description: partial 16S ribosomal RNA
Rfam family: Bacterial small subunit ribosomal RNA
Source: RNAcentral